This 395-nucleotide ribosomal RNA is filed under the name uncultured microorganism. RNAcentral describes it as "bacterial SSU rRNA". It matches the Rfam family "Bacterial small subunit ribosomal RNA", at positions 9 to 432 of the family's 1533-position model. The record is from RNAcentral.
GAGUUUGAUCUUGGCUCAGAGCGAACGCUGGCGGCAGGCCUAACACAUGCAAGUCGAACGAACUCUUCGGAGUUAGUGGCGGACGGGUGAGUAACACGUGGGAACGUGCCUUUUGGUUCGGAAUAACUCAGGGAAACUUGUGCUAAUACCGAAUGUGCCCUUCGGGGAAGGAUUAUCGCCAUUAGAGCGGCCCGCGUCUGAUUAGCUAGUUGGUGGGGUAAAGGGCUCACCAAGGCGACGAUCAGUAGCUGGUCUGAGAGGAUGAUCAGCCACAUUGGGACUGAGACACGGCCCAAACUCCUACGGGAGGCAGCAGUGGGGAAGUCUUGCGCAAUGGGCGAAAGCCUGACGCAGCCAUGCCGCGUGAAUGAUGAAGGUCUUAGGAUUGUAAAAUU